GAUGAAGAACGUAGCGAAAUGCGAUAAGUAGUGUGAAUUGCAGAAUUCAGUGAAUCAUCGAAUCUUUGAACGCACAUUGCGCCCUUUGGUAUUCCUUAGGGCAUGCCUGUUCGAGCGUCAUUUAAACCUUCAAGCUCAGCUUGGUGUUGGGUGUUUGUCCUGAGGGACUCGCCUUAAAGUAAUUGGCAGCCAGUGUUUGGUUUUGAAGCGCAGCACAAGUCGCGAUUCAAGGCUAUACACCAGCUUCCACAAGCCUUUUUCACUUUUGACCUCGGAUCAGGUAGGGAUACCCGCUGAACUUAAGCAUAUCAAUAAGCGGAGGA
RNAcentral lists this unclassified non-coding RNA (323 nucleotides) under soil metagenome. RNAcentral describes it as "partial contains 5.8S ribosomal RNA, internal transcribed spacer 2, and large subunit ribosomal RNA". The stretch from base 1 to 120 matches the Rfam family "5.8S ribosomal RNA", at positions 35 to 154 of the family's 154-position model. The record is from RNAcentral.